Hibiscus syriacus is the source of this 199-nucleotide small nucleolar RNA. RefSeq annotates it as small nucleolar RNA snoR143. The transcript has a single exon. The record is from RefSeq and is a predicted model, not a curated record. Lineage: Eukaryota; Viridiplantae; Streptophyta; Magnoliopsida; Malvales; Malvaceae.
UUUUUUCAAUGAAAGAAAGCAAAUUUAAUCUAUUGCUUUGUUUCUUGACGACAGUGCAGAAAUAAAAGGCUUGAUCUUUGCUUUCUUCUUUUAAGGAAGAAGUAAAGAUUAAGCAGCGGCCAGACAACCGUAGGGAUGGUACCCACAGGUGAAGGGCUAAUUUAAUCCCCUUUUCGUCUACUGAUUCCAUCUCACAUUU